UACGUAGGGGGCUAGCGUUGUCCGGAAUCAUUGGGCGUAAAGCGUGCGCAGGCGGCUUUGCAAGACAGAUGUGAAAUCCCCGGGCUUAACCUGGGAACUGCAUUUGUGACUGCAUGGCUGGAGUGCGGCAGAGGGGGAUGGAAUUCCGCGUGUAGCAGUGAAAUGCGUAGAUAUGCGGAGGAACACCGAUGGCGAAGGCAAUCCCCUGGGCCUGCACUGACGCUCAUGCACGAAAGCGUGGGGAGCAAACAGG
RNAcentral lists this ribosomal RNA (253 nucleotides) under uncultured bacterium. RNAcentral's name for it is "partial 16S ribosomal RNA". It matches the Rfam family "Bacterial small subunit ribosomal RNA", at positions 524 to 776 of the family's 1533-position model. The record is from RNAcentral.